This 468-nucleotide ribosomal RNA is filed under the name uncultured bacterium. Its description in RNAcentral is "partial 16S ribosomal RNA". It matches the Rfam family "Bacterial small subunit ribosomal RNA", at positions 28 to 507 of the family's 1533-position model. The record is from RNAcentral.
GACGAACGCUGGCGGCGUGCUUAACACAUGCAAGUCGAACGGAAAGGCCCUGCUUUUGUGGGGUGCUCGAGUGGCGAAAGGGUGAGUAACAUGUGAGUAACCUGCCCUUGACUCUGGGAUAACUUCAGGAAACUGGGGCUAAUACCGGAUAGGAGCUCCUGCUGCAUGGUGGGGGUUGGAAAGUUUCGGCGGUUGGGGAUGGACUCGCGGCUUAUCAGCUUGUUGGUGGGGUAGUGGCUUACCAAGGCUUUGACGGGUAGCCGGCCUGAGAGGGUGACCGGCCACAUUGGGACUGAGAUACGGCCCAGACUCCUACGGGAGGCAGCAGUGGGGAAUAUUGCACAAUGGGCGGAAGCCUGAUGCAGCAACGCCGCGUGCGGGAUGACGGCCUUCGGGUUGUAAACCGCUUUCGCCUGUGACGAAGCGUGAGUGGCGGUAAUGGGUAAAGAAGCGCCGGCUAACUACGUG